CUCUAAUUCACCGAAAAACGAACUUUCGUACGAAAUUUCGCGAACUUCUUACCACGGUUCCAUUUCGUUCCGAAAUUUCGUACGAACGAAGAUUGUUUGACGUUUAUUGUCUAUAAACCUACUCUAAUUCGAAAUGAUACGAACGAAUAUUUGAGUUUGACAGACGAAACUUCGGAAUUUUAACCUCAAAUUCAACGAAACCAAAAGAGUUAUCGUUUGAUUUUCGUGUUACUUUUCAUUUUGUGAAUUUUGUGUGAAAAUUAUUGGCAAAGGCUAUAAAAAUGCUUUUAAUUAAAGCAGCUUUACGUGAAGAUCGUGUAGAGCGAAGAAGGAACCGGCAGUGCUUGCGCAAUCAAUUAAAUAUUAGCGAAAUUCCCAACGUAGAGUUUGUAGGAAAUCACAGACUCAGUCGGCAAUUUUUCGAAGAGUUGUGCCAGGAAUUCAUGCCUUUAUUACCUCCAAACAAUGCAUAUUUCAAUUGCUAUACCUUCUGGAGCAUGAGGAACAAUAUUUUAAUCGAAAAUAUUUUCAUUCUCUUAACACCCAAGUUAUAUGUGACAGUGAUUACUAUAUAACAAAUGUGGAUGUGUCAUUUGGUGGAGCAACACACAUGAUGCUUAUAUUUGGAGAGAUUAGAAGCCACUUGGAAGGUCUCCAGAAUGAAACAGUUUAUCUGUUAGGUGACUCUGGGUAUGCUCUAAGGGGCAUAUGAUGAUACCUAUACAUAAAGCUGUUGAAGAUUCUCUUGAAGGCAGAUACAACUUUGCAGAGCUUUGUUAGUGCAAAUUUUAGAAAGGAAUAGGUAGAACAAAGUUCUACUCAAGCACAUCAUAACAUGCUCCAGAAGAACUAUGUUUAUUGAUUUUAAGAAUUUGACAUGAUGUUAUUUCUUUCCUUUAGAGUUAAAUAAAAGAAUAAAUUAUAUACCUA
This 930-nucleotide long non-coding RNA is filed under the name Helicoverpa zea (corn earworm). Its description in RNAcentral is "uncharacterized LOC124630840". Lineage: Eukaryota; Metazoa; Arthropoda; Insecta; Lepidoptera; Noctuidae. The record is from RNAcentral.